UGUCCUCGUGAUGUCACUGAGGAGAAACGAAAGUAAAACUUCAUCUCCAGAAUCCGGUUCUCUUCAGCUGAACUUGGUCUCCGGUGUUUUUUGGAGGAUCUGUAUCUCCUGCAGUCAUGGCUUCCUCCAGCAGUCUCCUGUCUGAAGAUGAGUUUCAGUGCUCGAUUUGUCUGGAUGUGUUCACUGAUCCGGUCUCUACUCCAUGUGGACACAACUUCUGCAUGGUCUGUCUCAGAGAGUUCUGGAACAGCAGCUCACACUGCCAGUGUCCCGUCUGUAAGGAGGAGUUCUCCAGAAGACCUGAGCUUCGUGUGAACACCUUCAUCUCUGGACUGACUGCUCAGUUCAAGAAGUCGCUUCAGGUGAAAUCCAGCAGAUCUUCAGUGAAACCUCCCUCCAAGCCUAAGAAGAUUCUGUGUGAUUCCUGCACUGAGAAAAAGACGGAGGCUCUGAAGUCCUGUCUGGACUGCAUGACCUCCUACUGCAAAACUCACCUGGAGCCUCAUCUCAGAGCUCCUGCACUGAAGAAGCACAAGCUGAUGGACCCUGUGGAGAACCUGCAGGACUACAUCUGCCAGAAUCAUGAGAGACCCCUGGAGCUGUUCUGUAGAGACGACCAGACCUGUGUGUGUCGGUUCUGCACUGAGACAGACCACAAGACUCACAGCACUGUUCCUGUAGAGCAGGAGAGUGGAGAGAAGAAGACUCAGCUGGGGAAGACACAGGCAGAUGUUCAGCAGAUGAUCCAGGACCGAAUGAAGAAGAUUGAGGAGAUCAAUCACUCUGUAGAUCUCAAUAAGAAAAACACAGAGAAGGAGAAAGCAGACAGUGUGGAGGUCUUCAGGGCUCUGGUGCGCUGCAUUGAGAGGAGCCAGGCGGAGCUGCUGGAGGUGAUGGAGGAGGAGCAGAAAGCAGCAGAGAGGCAGGCUGAAGAGCUGAUUAAAGAGCUGGAGCAGGAAAUCACUGAGCUAAAGAGGAGAGACACUGAGCUGGAGCAGAUCUCCCACACUGAGGACCACCUCCACCUCCUACAGGUUUACCCCUCCCUCUGCAGACCCCCACCCACCAAGACCUGGACUGACGUCAGGAUUAACACUCAUCUGAGGGUGGAGACUCUGAGGAAAGCUCUGUCUCAGCUUCAGGAAGCCCUCAGUGAGGAGAUGGAGAAGCUUUCUGAGAUCAAACUGAAGAGAAUUCAACAAUAUGCAGUGGAUGUGACUCUGGAUCCUGAUACAGCUCAUCCUGAUCUCAUCCUGUCUGAUGAUGGGAAACAGGUGAAACAUGGAAACAUCCGACAGAACCUUCCUGAUUCUCCACAGAGGUUUAAUCUGGUUCCCUGUGUUCUGGGAAAGGAGGGAUUCUCCUCAGGGAGGUUUUACUAUGAGGUUCAGGUCAGAGGGAAGAGUAACUGGGAUUUAGGAGUGAUCAGAGAGUCCUUCAACAGAAAGGGGAAGAUUGCUAUUACUCCUGAGGAUGGAUACUGGUCUGUAGUUCUGAGGAAUGAAAGUGAAUAUACAGCUCGUGAUUCUCCUCCUGUCCUCCUCUCCUUAAAUCAGGUUCUCCAGAAGGUGGGGGUGUUUGUGGAUUAUGAGGAGGGUCUGGUCUCCUUCUAUGAUGUUGAGACCAGCUCUCAUAUCUACUCUUUCACUGGUCAGUCUUUCACUGAGAAAAUCUAUCCAUACUUCAGUCCCUCUCUCAAUGAUGGAGGUAAAAACUCAGCUCCACUGAUCAUCACUCCUGUUCAUCAUCAUAAAUGAGCUUCUUUUACCCCAAAAUAAUAUUUUCUCUGAUAUUUUCCACAAAACAAAUUAUUCAAUCUUUCUAUUUCUAUAUAAAAUAUAAAUGGGUGGGUUAAAUGAUGCAUGAUUUUACAGUAAUCAAGUAAAAAUAUUAAUUAGGGUGUGUUUUCCUCCAUAAAUCUUCUGUUAGUGAUGUAAAAUAGAUUUAUGUUUUAUUUAGAUUUGUAUUGUGAGGUAAACAGAAUGCAGAAUGUCCUGUGGUGUGACGUAAUAUGAAUGAAUUAUGAAAUAUAAACCCUUAUAUAGAAUAAAUCAGUAAUAUCUGAACUGUUUAUAAUGGCUUUAAUCAUGUUUACUUUGCCAGUAUAAGGUUUUAAAAUGGAUCAGACUCCUACAAUAAUUAUCACAGGACAUUUUUAAGGCUUUGUGAUGAAAAUGAUCAGGUUUUUAAACAGGCAGUUUGAUGGUCAUCUCUAGAGGUUCUUUAGUGCAGCAGGAAACAGAAGGUCCUUCAGAUGAUUGGCUGUGAUUUGGAUGUUUGAAUCUCUUAUUAAUUUUACAGAUUUCCUACUUUCUGUGAAACAGUUAACGUUUCAGUUUUCCUCAGUCCUGCGGUGUGACGGCUCUACUUUGAGAAAAUGUAAAUAUUAAUCUUAAUAAAUUAGUAUAAAUAAAGUUUAAAAUAUAUAUUUAAUCAGUUAUUAAAAUGUGCAGGGUUAAUUACAUCAACUUUCUUUUUUCAAAUGUACAGAAUUGAUUUUUUUUAUUUUACUGUAAUGUAAUGUCACACCGCAGGACAGUUUAUGUACAAGGUUGUGAGAAAAGCUUAUAAAAUGGUAGAAAAAGAGAAAUAAUGUCUGGAGAAAACGAGCAGAUCAGGAAAGUUUAAACUCUGAACUGCAGAAUUUCAUAAAAUGAGUUAAAAUAUGAAAAUAUAAAAGUAGUUUAUUUUAUAAAUAUCUGUUUCAGCUCCAUUCAUCAAAUACCCAAAUCCAGUGAAUGAAUGAAGAAUGUAAAAAUGUAAUAAAUGAAGAUUAAAUCAGGAUCUUUGAUCCAGUUGCUCUGUGUUAAAGAGGCUCAUCUCUAAAUCCUCUUUUUAGCAUCAUUUAUGAAAAGUGAUAUUUAGUCUGUACUGUAAUCUGUACACAGUUAAUCAGACAGCAGGUGAAGCUACCUGUACCUGUUUCACUGUGUUCUGUCUUGUGCUGCAGAGCCAGUUUCAUCCUAUUUACUGUCCUGAAUAAACUCUAAUAAAGAUCUGCUUUCAUGAAGCUCUUUUUCUAUCA
Molecule: RNA transcript, 3025 nt
Organism: Astyanax mexicanus (Mexican tetra)
Lineage: Eukaryota; Metazoa; Chordata; Actinopteri; Characiformes; Acestrorhamphidae
Gene name: E3 ubiquitin-protein ligase TRIM39-like
Exons: 8
Source: RefSeq, a predicted model, not a curated record